RNAcentral lists this ribosomal RNA (598 nucleotides) under Anthothela sp. USNM1139023. Its description in RNAcentral is "eukaryotic LSU rRNA". It matches the Rfam family "Eukaryotic large subunit ribosomal RNA", at positions 409 to 811 of the family's 3401-position model. The record is from RNAcentral. Lineage: Eukaryota; Metazoa; Cnidaria; Anthozoa; Malacalcyonacea; Alcyoniidae. RNAcentral also lists the same sequence under 2 other names.
UGAAAGGGAAGCGAAUGGAGUUAGCAAUUCGCCCUGCCAGAUUCAGUUGCUCGUGCGCCGCGACGUGCGCGCUCUCGAUCCGCAUGGACGAGGCGUGCGCGGGUGCGGCGCUCGGACGGCGCACUUCUGGCGGGCGAGCGUCAGCGUCGGUUGUCGACGGGCGAUAAGGACGCGAGGAAGGUGGAGCGGCCCUCGGGCCGCUUGUUAAGCCUUGCGCACGUAUAGCUCGACGGCGACCGUGGCUCCGAAGGAGGCGACGCGUGCCUCUAGCUGGUGACUCGAACGAUCGGUCUGGCAUGUCGACCGUGGCGGACGGCACGCCUGUGCGCUCGAACUGCUGCCGGUCGAUCGUGCGAUGUUCGCACACUACGCGUCGAAGAUGCUGACGACCAUACGGCUCCAUCCGACCCGUCUUGAAACACGGACCAAGGAGUCUAACAUGUGCGCGAGUCUCCGGGUGAUCGAAACCCGUGGGCGCAAUGAAAGUAAAGAUCGUCCCAGACGAUUGAGGUGAGAAGCAGGCGCCACCGAGCGCCUGCCGCAUCAUCGACCGACCUAUUCUGCUCUCAGAGAGGUUUGAGUAAGAGCGUAUCUGUUG